UUAAGUAAGGAAGGGCGUACGGCGAAUGCCUGGCCACUCGAAACUGAAGAAGGACGCGCCAAACUGCGAAAAGCUCCGUGAAGCUGUAAGGAAGCGAAGAAGCGGAGGUGUCCGAAUGGGGGAACCCGGCAGCAGACAUGAGCUGUCAUCUGCAGGUGAAUACAUGGCCUGCAAGAGAGGUACCCGGCGAACUGAAACAUCUAAGUAGCCGGAGGAAAAGAAAACAACAGUGAUUCCCUGAGUAGCGGCGAGCGAAAGGGGAGAAGCCCAAACCGGUCCAAGGACCGGGGUUGAAGGACCAUGAUAUGGCAAGAGAGAGGAUAGAAGAACGGGAUCGAAAGCCCGGCCGAAGAAGGUGCAAGCCCUGUAAUUGAAAUCCGAUCGAAGCCUAAUGGGAUCCUGAGUACGGCGAGACACGAGGAAUCUUGUCGGAAGCAGGCGGGACCAUCCGCCAAGGCUAAAUAUAAACGAGUGAGCGAUAGUGAACCAGUACCGUGAGGGAAAGGUGAAAAGAACCGCGGGAGCGGAGUGAAAGAGAACCUGAAACCGUAUGCCUACAAGAAGUCAGAGCCCGUUAAGGGGUGAUGGCGUGCCUUUUGUAGAAUGAACCGGCGAGUUGCGACAGACUGCGAGGUUAAGGAGGAAAGACCGGAGCCGAAGCGAAAGCGAGUCUUAAUAGGGCGAAAGUAGGAUGUUGCAGACCCGAAACCGGGUGAUCUAGCCAUGAGCAGGUUGAAGUUGAGGUGAAACUCAAUGGAGGACCGAACCGACUACCGUUGAAAAGUUAGCGGAUGACUUGUGGCUAGGGGAGAAAUUCCAAUCGAACCCGGAGAUAGCUGGUUCUCCCCGAAAUAGCUUUAGGGCUAGCGUCGGAAAGAACCUUAGUGAAGGUAGAGCACUGAAUGUGUGAUGGCCCCAUCCCGGGGUACUGAAUACAAUCAAACUGCGAAUGUCAUUAAGGAUGUCCGGCAGUCAGACUGUGAGUGAUAAGGUCCAUGGUCAAGAGGGAAACAGCCCAGACCGCCAGUUAAGGUCCCAAAAUACAGGCUAAGUGGAAAAGGAUGUGGGGAUGCCCAGACAACUAGGAGGUUGGCUCAGAAGCAGCCAUCCUUUAAAGAGUGCGUAACAGCUCACUAGUCGAGUGACCCUGCGCCGAAAAUGUACCGGGGCUAAGCCUGAUACCGAAACUGCGGAUUGUAGGAAACUAUAGUGGUAGGGGAGCGUUGUAUACGAGUGGAAGCCGUACCGUGAGGAGCGGUGGAUUGUAUAGAAGUGAGAAUGCCGGUGUGAGUAGCGAGAUGUAGGUGAGAAUCCUACACACCGAAAGCCCAAGGAUUCCAGGGGAAGGUUCGUCCGCCCUGGGUAAGUCGGGACCUAACGCGAGGCCGAAAGGCGUAGUGGAUGGAAAGCAGGCGAAAGAUUCCUGCACCCGUAUAUGGAGCGAAGGAGUGACGGAGACGGAUAGUGUGACCCUCUUAAUGGAUUGAGGGCGAAGCGAAGCGGCUGGUUACCAGGCAAAUCCGGUAACCAUAAGGCUAGAGCGUGAUAGGUAAGCGAAAUCUUAGGAGAGUAGCGAAGCACAUGAUGACGGCUUCCAGGAAAAGCUUCUGGCAAUGCAUAUGCGGCCCGUACCAAAACCGACACAGGUGGGCAGGGAGAGAAUCCCGAGGUGAGCGAGAGAACUGUUGCCAAGGAACUCGGCAAAAUGACUCCGUAAGUUAGCGAGAAGGAGUGCUUAAGCAAUUAAGCCGCAGUGAAGAGGCCCAAGCGACUGUUUAACUAAAACACAGCUCUCUGCGAAGUCGCAAGACGAAGUAUAGGGGGUGACACCUGCCCGGUGCUGGAAGGUUAAGAGGAUCUGUUAAGAGCGAUCUGAAGCAGUGAUCCGAAGCCCCAGUGAACGGCGGCCGUAACUAUAACGGUCCUAAGGUAGCGAAAUUCCUUGUCAGGUAAGUUCUGACCCGCACGAAAGGUGUAACGAUUUGGGCGCUGUCUCGGCAGCAGACUCGGUGAAAUCUUAGUACCUGUGAAAAUGCAGGUUACCCGCAACUAGACGGAAAGACCCCAUGGAGCUUUACUGCAGCCUGAUAUUGAAUUCUGGUCAUACAUGUACAGGAUAGGUGGGAGACAAAGAGACGUGCACGCCAGUGUACGAGGAGUCGACGUUGGGAUACCACUCUUGUGUGACCGGGGUUCUAACCUGGUAUCGAGAACAGGUACGGGGAGAGUGUCAGGUGGGCAGUUUGACUGGGGCGGUCGCCUCCCAAAGAGUAACGGAGGCGCCCAAAGGUUCCCUCAGCGCGGCCGGAAAUCGCGCGAAGAGUGUAAAGGCAGAAGGGAGCUUGACUGAGAGCCAAACACGGCGAUCAGGUACGAAAGUAGGGCUUAGUGAUCCGGUGGCAUCCAAGUGGAAGGGCCAUCGCUCAACGGAUAAAAGCUACCCUGGGGAUAACAGGCUAAUCUCUCCCAAGAGUCCAUAUCGACGGGGAGGUUUGGCACCUCGAUGUCGGCUCAUCACAUCCUGGGGCUGAAGUCGGUCCCAAGGGUUGGGCUGUUCGCCCAUUAAAGUGGUACGUGAGCUGGGUUCAGAACGUCGUGAGACAGUUCGGUCCCUAUCCAUCGCGGGCGCAAGAGAUUUGAAGGGGGCUGCUCCUAGUACGAGAGGACCGGAGUGGACGAACCAAUGGUGUACCAAUUAUCUCGCCAGAGGUAUAGUUGGGUAGCUACGUUCGGAAAGGAUAAACGCUGAAAGCAUCUAAGCGUGAAACCAGCCUUAAGAUGAGAUCUCUCAUAGAGUAAUCUAGUAAGACACCUUGGAGAAGACGAGGUUGAUAGGUCGGGAGUGUAAGUACAGUAAUGUAUUCAGCGGACCGAUACUAAUAUGUCGAGGGCUUGACUUA
This 2900-nucleotide ribosomal RNA is filed under the name human gut metagenome. RNAcentral's name for it is "bacterial LSU rRNA". It matches the Rfam family "Bacterial large subunit ribosomal RNA". The record is from RNAcentral.